RNAcentral lists this long non-coding RNA (1465 nucleotides) under Homo sapiens (human). RNAcentral's name for it is "HSALNT0359418". The record is from RNAcentral. Lineage: Eukaryota; Metazoa; Chordata; Mammalia; Primates; Hominidae.
UGGAGAUCGAGUCAAGGGUUGCCCAGGGACACUUAAGAGCCUUCGGCUUCAAGGAGGCCUCUCAAAGGACAAAGGAUGAGACUGCCUGGCGGCAGAGUGCCCCCCACAAUCGUAGGAACUGUGUCGCCGCGCUUCCCGUUAACUUGCCGCUAAGUUUUUCUAGAAAAGUCGCCCUUCUUGCCAGGGGUGUCCUAUAGACUUUGUCAUGGAGUGAAACAGAAACAAAUGAAACCACUGCCAAGAACGAUGUUAUAAAGGCUUUCCUCCACGUUCUCAUCUAGGAGUUUUAUAGUUUCAGCCUCGUGAAGUGCCAGCUCCCUCUUUGCCCUCCACCAUGACUGCAAGUUUCCUGAGGCCUCCCAGAAGUUUCUUGAGGCCUCCCCAGAAGCCAAGCAGAUGCCAGCAUCAUGCUUCCUGUACAGCCUGUAGAAUCAUGAGCCAAUUACACCUCUUUUAUUUAUAAAUUACCCAGUCUCAGGUAUUUCUUUAUAGUAAUGUGAGAAUGGACUAAUACAGACAGUGAGAAAAUUAGCCAUAGAGUACAUUAUAUGAGGGCUCACAUCCAGAAAUCAACACAUCAAUAAGAAAAAGCAGACAAUCCAAUAAGAAAAAAAUGGGUAAAAGUCUUAACCAAGCUUUCAUAAAAAAGGCUGUCCUAAUAACCAACAGACAUGAAAAGGUGUUCAGUUUCAUUAGUCAUUAGGGAAAUGCAGAUUAAAACUUCAAUGAAAUACAACUUAUGUACAUCAGAAUGGCUAUGAUUUAAAAGACAGAUAAUACCAAAUGUUGACAGGAAUAUAAAGCAGCUGAAACUCUCACACACUUCUUAGUUUGUGUAUAGUUUGGUACAACCACUUUAGAAAAUCAUUUGGCACUAUAUAGUAAAACUAAACAUAUACAAACCUAUAACCCAGCAUUUCUACUCUGAGAUAUUUACCAACAGAAAAUGCAUACACACACAGUUAUCAGAAGAUGUGCAAAUUUUCAUGGUAGUGUUAUUAGUAAUAGUCAAAACUGGAUGUAACUUAUAUCCAUCAAUAAAAGAAUGGUUAAUAAAUAAAGGUAUUUUUCAUACUAUGGAGUUCUAUACAGCAACAGAAAUGAACAAGCUAUUGCUGUACACAACAAUAUAGAGUACCUAUUCUAUUAUUCCAUUUAUAUAAAAUAGGUAAAACUAACAGACAAGAGUAACGUAGUGGUAGAAGUUAUAAUAGUGGCUACCUUGAGUAUCAUUCAUUUAUUCAUUAUUUUUGUAAAAUUAGCACCAUACAUAAUUUUGCAUUCUGCUUUUUUCACUUCAGAUUUUAUUUUGAGCAUUUCCCCAUAUCAUUCAAUAUUCCUUGAAACUAUAAUUUUAAGGGCUAUUUAACAUUUCAUCAUGAUUUAGACAUUAUAUUAGUAGACUUAGUAUCUUUAAAGGAUAAAUCAACACCACAAAACCACCAGCGAUAAUUGAUAUUACAAG